Long non-coding RNA from Stylophora pistillata, 1174 nucleotides. RefSeq lists it as uncharacterized. The record is from RefSeq and is a predicted model, not a curated record. NCBI's taxonomy places the organism in Eukaryota, Metazoa, Cnidaria, Anthozoa, Scleractinia, Pocilloporidae.
UCAGCGGUCCUCUGGUACCCCCUACCCCCACUCCCCUACUUCCCUCCACCACUACUCUUGAAUUCACUUUUCAUAAAUUUUUGUCAAUCGGUCACAAGAACUGAGGAAAAGACCAAAAUAACUGAAGGGAUGGGUUGGUGGUAAGAUGACUAGCUACGUAGUUCUUGACUUACUGACGUGAAUACUUGAAUAAGUGGUCCUCCAGUACCCCCAUCUCCUUGGCUUAACUUUUCUCUACUAGCAAGUCAAUUGGUACGCGGAGAGUACAAGAACUGAACGGAAGGGAUGAGUAGCUGGUGAAACAACUGCAUUUACUUAACUCUUGACUUGUGAGUAUCAGAGGCUAGAAUCAAGCCGGGAUACUCCAACUGAGAAGUGCGUGAAGUUUUCAACAAAGUUUGCGGGAGAAGGAUAGUUCCUCGAAAUUUGGUGCAAAGAAAAAUUCAGCAGAGGUAUUUUGACGACAACAGCAUGGUUUUAUGCGAGAUAUUUUUCGUGGGAACCUUGGCGGCCUUCACGUUCCUUCAGAUCUAUCUAUACAAGAAAUUUUGCGUUGGAUCAGGCCGUACUCUCGGGAACAGUGAAACCACAUACCGCGUUCCCGGAGGAUACUACUUGGUGAAAUUUUAUCCGGAACAAAAGAUGUAUUAGGAAAGAAAAGCUUUGAGUGCUUGUGCUCAACUGAAAGAAACUGAACUUGUUGCAUUUUCUGAAUUAUAAGAACUCGAAACUAAAAAACUGAAAAUUUCAUUAUAGUAUAUUUUAGAAAUUGAGUACUUCGUAGGGUUUUAAAUUAGGGAACCCGUUACAUGAGCUUCGUAGCAGAGAGAGGAGCUGUAGCCAAACUGGAUUGAUUUACCAAAAUCGCCUUUAAGAAGCAUGUUUUUUCUCGAAACGGGACUGAAAUAUUUUACGUAAUCUUGGUUCGCUCCAUAAGGCAGUAUUUGAUAUAAAUUUGCCCCUAUAUCGGUAUAAUCAUGAUUAUAGCACGGUUAUGAGUUUGAAAGCGGUGUUGGUUGUUUAAAAUAAACAUACUACAUUAUUAAAGUCGGAGAGGCGUAAUUUAUCUGUUGUACUUAAGGAAUUGAUUUUUGCUUCCGUAUUCUGUUUAUAGAUUUGGAUUUUUGUCGUAUCUAGUUAUACUGUAUUUCACUUAUACGUAGGAGAAUAAAAA